RNAcentral lists this ribosomal RNA (422 nucleotides) under uncultured Chlorobiota bacterium. Its description in RNAcentral is "bacterial SSU rRNA". It matches the Rfam family "Bacterial small subunit ribosomal RNA", at positions 355 to 776 of the family's 1533-position model. The record is from RNAcentral. Lineage: Bacteria; Pseudomonadati; Chlorobiota.
UAAGGAAUAUUGCUCAAUGGCCGAAAGGCUGAAGCAGCAACGCCGCGUGAGGGACGAAGGGCUUAAGCUUGUAAACCUCUGUAACGGGGGAAAAAACUUCCACUUAAGUGGAAUAUGAUGGUACCCCGAAAGUAAGCGUCGGCUAACUACGUGCCAGCAGCCGCGGUAAUACGUAGGACGCAAACGUUGUCCGGAUUUACUGGGUGUAAAGGGUGCUCAGGCGGUCUUGUAAGUCAGAGGUGAAAUCUCCCGACUCAAUCGGGAAACUGCCUUUGAUACUGUGAGGCUUGAGUGCAGAAGAGGCGGAUGGAAUUUCUGGUGUAGCAGUGAAAUGCGUAGAUAUCAGAAAGAACACCAGUGGCGAAGGCGGUCCGCUGGUCUGUCACUGACGCUAAAGCACGAAAGCGUGGGUAGCAAACAGG